CAAUCGAACCUGGAGAUAGCUGGUUCUCUCCGAAAUAGCUUUAGGGCUAGCCUCAAGUGAUGAUUAUUGGAGGUAGAGCACUGUUUGGACGAGGGGCCCCUCUCGGGUUACCGAAUUCAGACAAACUCCGAAUGCCAAUUAAUUUAACUUGGGAGUCAGAACAUGGGUGAUAAGGUCCGUGUUCGAAAGGGAAACAGCCCAGACCACCAGCUAAGGUCCCAAAAUAUAUGUUAAGUGGAAAAGGAUGUGGCGUUGCCCAGACAACUAGGAUGUUGGCUUAGAAGCAGCCAUCAUUUAAAGAGUGCGUAAUAGCUCACUAGUCGAGUGACACUGCGCCGAAAAUGUACCGGGGCUAAACAUAUUACCGAAGCUGUGGAUUGUCCUUUGGACAAUGGUAGGAGAGCGUUCUAAGGGCGUUGAAGCAUGAUCGUAAGGACAUGUGGAGCGCUUAGAAGUGAGAAUGCCGGUGUGAGUAGCGAAAGACGGGUGAGAAUCCCGUCCACCGAUUGACUAAGGUUUCCAGAGGAAGGCUCGUCCGCUCUGGGUUAGUCGGGUCCUAAGCUGAGGCCGACAGGCGUAGGCGAUGGAUAACAGGUUGAUAUUCCUGUACCACCUAUAAUCGUUUUAAUCGAUGGGGGGACGCAGUAGGAUAGGCGAAGCGUGCGAUUGGAUUGCACGUCUAAGCAGUAAGGCUGAGUAUUAGGCAAAUCCGGUACUCGUUAAGGCUGAGCUGUGAUGGGGAGAAGACAUUGUGUCUUCGAGUCGUUGAUUUCACACUGCCGAGAAAAGCCUCUAGAUAGAAAAUAGGUGCCCGUACCGCAAACCGACACAGGUAGUCAAGAUGAGAAUUCUAAGGUGAGCGAGCGAACUCUCGUUAAGGAACUCGGCAAAAUGACCCCGUAACUUCGGGAGAAGGGGUGCUCUUUAGGGUUAACGCCCAGAAGAGCCGCAGUGAAUAGGCCCAAGCGACUGUUUAUCAAAAACACAGGUCUCUGCUAAACCGUAAGGUGAUGUAUAGGGGCUGACGCCUGCCCGGUGCUGGAAGGUUAAGAGGAGUGGUUAGCUUCUGCGAAGCUACGAAUCGAAGCCCCAGUAAACGGCGGCCGUAACUAUAACGGUCCUAAGGUAGCGAAAUUCCUUGUCGGGUAAGUUCCGACCCGCACGAAAGGCGUAACGAUUUGGGCACUGUCUCAACGAGAGACUCGGUGAAAUCAUAGUACCUGUGAAGAUGCAGGUUACCCGCGACAGGACGGAAAGACCCCGUGGAGCUUUACUGUAGCCUGAUAUUGAAAUUCGGCACAGCUUGUACAGGAUAGGUAGGAGCCUUUGAAACGUGAGCGCUAGCUUACGUGGAGGCGCUGGUGGGAUACUACCCUAGCUGUGUUGGCUUUCUAACCCGCACCACUUAUCGUGGUGGGAGACAGUGUCAGGCGGGCAGUUUGACUGGGGCGGUCGCCUCCUAAAAGGUAACGGAGGCGCUCAAAGGUUCCCUCAGAAUGGUUGGAAAUCAUUCAUAGAGUGUAAAGGCAUAAGGGAGCUUGACUGCGAGACCUACAAGUCGAGCAGGGUCGAAAGACGGACUUAGUGAUCCGGUGGUUCCGCAUGGAAGGGCCAUCGCUCAACGGAUAAAAGCUACCCCGGGGAUAACAGGCUUAUCUCCCCCAAGAGUUCACAUCGACGGGGAGGUUUGGCACCUCGAUGUCGGCUCAUCGCAUCCUGGGGCUGUAGUCGGUCCCAAGGGUUGGGCUGUUCGCCCAUUAAAGCGGUACGCGAGCUGGGUUCAGAACGUCGUGAGACAGUUCGGUCCCUAUCCGUCGUGGGCGUAGGAAAUUUGAGAGGAGCUGUCCUUAGUACGAGAGGACCGGGAUGGACAUACCUCUGGUGUACCAGUUGUCGUGCCAACGGCAUAGCUGGGUAGCUAUGUGUGGACGGGAUAAGUGCUGAAAGCAUCUAAGCAUGAAGCCCCCCUCAAGAUGAGAUUUCCCAACUUCGGUUAUAAGAUCCCUCAAAGAUGAUGAGGUUAAUAGGUUCGAGGUGGAAGCAUGGUGACAUGUGGAGCUGACGAAUACUAAUCGAUCGAAGACUUAAUCAAAA
This 2094-nucleotide ribosomal RNA is filed under the name Staphylococcus aureus. RNAcentral's name for it is "partial 23S ribosomal RNA". It matches the Rfam family "Bacterial large subunit ribosomal RNA", at positions 830 to 2925 of the family's 2925-position model. Lineage: Bacteria; Bacillati; Bacillota; Bacilli; Caryophanales; Staphylococcaceae. The record is from RNAcentral.